AUGCCCCACUUGCCAAACAAGGAAAUGAAGUUCAUAGUAAAUGUAGUCAACACUACAGAUUUCUAUGUUGCUUUCAAUGUAUAUUUCAUCCGCAGGAAUGCAGCACAGGACAAGAGACCUGCAUCGGUAGGUACAGGAUCGAAUGUAAUCCUGCAACCACGAUCCACCAAUAGACAAAUACUACAUUGGAUAAUUGAUGAGACGGAGGAGCCCGUAGAAGAUUACUUUGUGUGGAGCCGUGUUGUGACUGAAGGUGUGGAAAGCAGAGACAUCAUUCGUUACAUGGUUGAGGAAGAGAGUAAGAAACUGCCCUUUGUUGUUAAUAAGGCAAGCCCGGCAUGUACCUCAAACGAGCUGAUCCAGUUUGAGCCGCCUGAGCUCAGCCUCCCCUUGAUGAUGAUGCCAAACAAGCCCUUGGCGUUUUCAGUUAAUAUACUCAACAGUACAGACUACUAUGUUGGUUUUGGUGGAUAUAACCUGAAAACAAAUGUGGCCUGCUACUCCAUAAAACCUGCGGGUGGAGUUAUGCCACCACGGUCCACUCAAAGACUGGUUGUAAAAAGGGUACCAAAGAAAAAGGAGGAGCUGCUUAGUGAGUGCCAAGAUGAUAAGUUCCUCGUAUGGAGCUGCUUAGUGAGUGAAGGUGCCAAAGCCAGCGACCUCAAUGGUUGUGCUAAAUACACAGUGGGUAGGGAGUUGCCAAUUGUUUGUACUAACAAGACAAGCAACUUAUGCACCUCAGACGAGUUGAUCCAGUUUGAUCCUCCACAGCUCCCGUUCACCUUCCUUCCCAACAUGAGGGUGUCCAUGUUGCGCUUGCUUAAAAUAGUCAAUGUUACAGAUCACAUCGUCGGUUUCAGUACAUGGUCUCAUGAAGCCAAUUCUGCGUCAUACACAAUGGAACCGCGUGCAGGGAUCCUGCCACCACAGUCCACACAAGCAAUCAAGGUAAGAAGGACCCCAAAGAAAAAUGAAACGGAAGAUAUCCAGUGCAAAGACAAGAUUUUUGUGUGGAAUGGAAUUUUGACUGAAGGUGUCCAAGUUAGGGAUGUCUGUACAUACUGGAAGAACGAAGAUAAAGAGUUGCCCAUUGUUCUAACAAAGCCUGGAGAAAGCAGUUCAAGGUAG
This 1128-nucleotide ribosomal RNA is filed under the name Triticum aestivum (bread wheat). Its description in RNAcentral is "partial small subunit ribosomal RNA". Lineage: Eukaryota; Viridiplantae; Streptophyta; Magnoliopsida; Poales; Poaceae. The record is from RNAcentral.